RNAcentral lists this long non-coding RNA (1602 nucleotides) under Mus caroli (Ryukyu mouse). RNAcentral's name for it is "lncRNA (MGP_CAROLIEiJ_G0006616.1)". Lineage: Eukaryota; Metazoa; Chordata; Mammalia; Rodentia; Muridae. The record is from RNAcentral.
GCAUCUGGAAGAUCAUCUCUGGGCUUGGUGUAUCUCAAAAUCAUCAGGCAAAGUGGCCCUGUCUCAGGGUGAUUCUGGAAAGUGCUCAGUCCACCCUAGUAUCUUCACCUGAGCAUUCUACUUUGUUGACUGGAUCCGGCUCAUCAAGGGCCAAGGAAGUCCUUCAGGCAGAAUGAGGAAGAUACAUAGAUGAACUAUCUGGAUAAGGAAAAGAGGAAGAACAUUUGAGACAAAUGAAUAGCUGGCAUGAAGUUUCCUCUUCUCCAGAACUAAGGGCUGCCACCUGUUCAGAGAACAAGUUUACUCUGGCUGGAAGUACAACACCUGGUCCCCUUUCCUUUAGGACCUGUCCUGGAAGACAUGUCUGCAGAGCUGAGUGAGGCUCCCUGCCCUGGCUGCUGUCCUGGCUUGCAGGAUCUGGGAACACAUACCCAGAAACAACUCCCCAUCCAUGUGCCCUGCCUUUCCUCACAUGCUUCCCAGAGAGCACAUACUUCAAGAAAACCAAAGAAAGAAAAAAUUGCCCUAAGAGUUCCGGAAUUGACCUCUGGCUACAAAGAGCACUGUGACUGGCUUACAAAGUUAUACGAUUCUCUGACGAAACUCUUUGUGACCCAGAGCAACUACUUAAGAGUCUGUUACAAGGUGCACAGUGUAUUCUCUCUGUGAGCUUACAUCUGUGGGCUCCACAAAGGGCAUGUGUGCCAAAAGUCUGGGUACGUGGUAGUUCCCAGUGACUGAAUCUUCGCCCAUUGGAGAAGUAAGGAACAGAGGAAAAGUCAGGCAAAUGGUCUAUGAGCUGGCUAGGGAAUGAACACAGAAACCCACAAUGAACGACACGAAAGACAUUCAGAGAGUGACUUAGGAGCACUUAGACCUCAGUGGGAUGCCUUCCUCAGACUCCUCCCCUCAGGGUUCAGGGAGCUCUCUGGAAGAGGAUGAUAAGAGCCAGAGGGGACAGAGGACUCAUGACGGGAAGGAAACAGUGUCCUCCAGACACAACAAGACUGACGCACGUAUGAAGUCAGACACUGUAACAGCAUGCACAAUGCCUGUACAGGUUCAAGCCAGAUGGAUUCUAAUCCUGCAAGGAGGAAGUGGGCACAAGUUCCAUCCCUGACCAAGAAGUUAUCCAACCUCAAUCGAUAACUGCUUGCAAAGGAAAACUUAGAUUUGUCCAAUGGAGUUUCACUGGGAUUAUUAACCAACCACACUUCAGGGCAGGCCCCCUGCCCAGCAGUAGAUGGCUAGUACUAAAUGAAUCUAAUGGUAUUUUUGUAGACUUUUGAUCUUACAAUGCUUUGUUUGAGUGUGUGUGUGUGUGUGUGUGUGUGUGUGUGUAUGUUACUGGUCUUUUACUAGUGUGUUAUAGUUUUUGAUUUUAUGGUUUGAUAUAUAUGUAUGUUUCUUGUGAUUUUUCUUUUAAAAUGUUAUUCUCUUCUCUUUUUGCCUGUUUGUUUUUUAAACAAGAGAAAGAAAUCAUGUAGAUGGGUGGAUGGGGAGGCAGAGGGGAGCUGGGAGGAGCUGGGGGAGGGAGAUCAUAAUCAGAAUAUGUUGUAUGAAAAAAAUGUUUUCAAUGAAAGAAUACAUUAAAAAACAAGC